RNAcentral lists this non-coding RNA (62 nucleotides) under Callithrix jacchus (white-tufted-ear marmoset). RNAcentral's name for it is "precursor 1_85 miRNA". It matches the Rfam family "mir-23 microRNA precursor family", at positions 8 to 67 of the family's 73-position model. RNAcentral also lists the same sequence under 1 other name. The record is from RNAcentral. Lineage: Eukaryota; Metazoa; Chordata; Mammalia; Primates; Cebidae.
UGGGUUCCUGGCAUGCUGAUUUGUGACUUAAGAUUAAAAUCACAUUGCCAGGGAUUACCACG